CAUAAUAAAUGUGUCUUUCAGCAUUUCAAUGGUAUUUUGUGUGUUAAAAAUGCAAAUGUCAAGUUUAACGAUGACAUAAACGCAUAUAAAAAAUAAAUGAAGAAACUUACAGGUUAAUAUCUAGGACAAAUUUACCUAUAUAUAUAUAUAUAUAUACAGUCAUGGGACUAAAGUGAGUUCCCAGUAAAAAAAAGUCCUAUCAUUUCAACUUGUAUAUCUAUUUAUAACUGACAACAAUAUGCAUAACCUUUUAGUUUAAACAUAUUUUACUUGCAAAAGUAGCAAAAGGGAUUGGACACAAGUUAUAACAACAUUAGAGACGUCCUCUCCCAAUAUAAAUAUAAACACAAAGUACAUUAGAUAAUGGCGAAAAAAAACACA
RNAcentral lists this long non-coding RNA (381 nucleotides) under Mytilus galloprovincialis (Mediterranean mussel). The record is from RNAcentral. Lineage: Eukaryota; Metazoa; Mollusca; Bivalvia; Mytilida; Mytilidae.